UACGGAGGAUGCAAGCGUUAUCCGGAAUGAUUAGGCGUAAAGCGUCCACAGGUGGUUGUGUGUGUCUAUUGUCAAAGCAUCAUGCUUAACAUGAUAAAGGCAGUAGAAACUACACGACUAGAGUGCGUUCGGGGCAGAGGGAAUUCCUGGUGUAGCGGUGAAAUGCGUAGAGAUCAGGAAGAACACCGGUGGCGAAAGCGCUCUGCUAGGCCGCAACUGACAAUGAGGGACGAAAGCUAGGGGAGCGAAUGGG
This 253-nucleotide ribosomal RNA is filed under the name uncultured bacterium. RNAcentral describes it as "partial 16S ribosomal RNA". It matches the Rfam family "Bacterial small subunit ribosomal RNA", at positions 524 to 776 of the family's 1533-position model. The record is from RNAcentral.